RNAcentral lists this ribosomal RNA (495 nucleotides) under uncultured bacterium. RNAcentral describes it as "partial 16S ribosomal RNA". It matches the Rfam family "Bacterial small subunit ribosomal RNA", at positions 30 to 507 of the family's 1533-position model. The record is from RNAcentral.
UGACCGCUGGCGGCGUGCCUAAUACAUGCAAGUCGAGCGAACGGACGAGAAGCUUGCUUCUCUGAUGUUAGCGGCGGACGGGUGAGUAACACGUGGAUAACCUACCUAUAAGACUGGGAUAACUUCGGGAAACCGGAGCUAAUACCGGAUGAUAUUUUGAACCGCGUGGUUCAAAAGUGAAAGACGGUCUUGCUGUCACUUAUAGAUGGAUCCGCGCUGCAUUAGCUAGUUGGUAAGGUAACGGCUUACCAAGGCAACGAUGCAUAGCCGACCUGAGAGGGUGAUCGGCCACACUGGAGCUGAGACACGGUCCAGACUCCUACGGGAGGCAGCAGUAGGGAAUCUUCCGCAAUGGGCGAAAGCCUGACGGAGCAACGCCGCGUGAGUGAUGAAGGUCUUCGGAUCGUAAAACUCUGUUAUUAGGGAAGAACAUAUGUGUAAGUAACUGUGCACAUCUUGACGGUACCUAAUCAGAAAGCCACGGCUAACUACGUG